AGGUAAGCUACUAAGAGCGAAUGGUGGAUGCCUUGACUGGUAAAGGCGAUGAAGGACGUACUAGACUGCGAUAAGCUACGGGGAGCUGUCAAGAAGCUUUGAUCCGUAGAUUUCCGAAUGGGGCAACCCAAUGUAUAGAGAUAUACAUUACCUAUAUAGGAGCGAACGAGGGGAAUUGAAACAUCUUAGUACCCUCAGGAAAAGAAAUCAAUAGAGAUUGCGUCAGUAGCGGCGAGCGAAAGCGCAAGAGGGCAAACCCAGUGCUUGCACUGGGGGUUGUAGGACUGCAAUGUGCAAGAGGUAAGUUUAGCAGAACAUUCUGGAAAGUAUAACCAUAGAGGGUGAUAGUCCCGUAUGCGAAAAACAAACCUUAGCUAGCAGUAUCCUGAGUAGGGCGGGACACGAGGAAUCCUGUCUGAAUCCGGGUCGACCACGAUCCAACCCUAAAUACUAAUACCAGAUCGAUAGUGCACAAGUACCGUGAGGGAAAGGUGAAAAGAACUGAGGUGAUCAGAGUGAAAUAGAACCUGAAACCAUUUGCUUACA
This 546-nucleotide ribosomal RNA is filed under the name Campylobacter jejuni. RNAcentral's name for it is "partial 23S ribosomal RNA". It matches the Rfam family "Bacterial large subunit ribosomal RNA", at positions 1 to 568 of the family's 2925-position model. The record is from RNAcentral. Lineage: Bacteria; Pseudomonadati; Campylobacterota; Epsilonproteobacteria; Campylobacterales; Campylobacteraceae.